This 423-nucleotide ribosomal RNA is filed under the name uncultured bacterium. RNAcentral's name for it is "bacterial SSU rRNA". It matches the Rfam family "Bacterial small subunit ribosomal RNA", at positions 207 to 622 of the family's 1533-position model. The record is from RNAcentral.
AAGACCUUGCGUUUUUGGAGCGGCCGAUGUCUGAUUAGCUAGUUGGUGGGGUAAUGGCCUACCAAGGCUUCGAUCAGUAGCUGGUCUGAGAGGACGGCCAGCCACACUGGGACUGAGACACGGCCCAGACUCCUACGGGAGGCAGCAGUGGGGAAUUUUGGACAAUGGGCGCAAGCCUGAUCCAGCCAUGCCGCGUGAGUGAAGAAGGCCUUCGGGUUGUAAAGCUCUUUCAGCCGAGAAGAAAAGAUUGCGACUAAUAAUCGCAAUUCAUGACGGUACCGGCAGAAGAAGCACCGGCUAACUACGUGCCAGCAGCCGCGGUAAUACGUAGGGUGCGAGCGUUAAUCGGAAUUACUGGGCGUAAAGGGCGCGCAGGCGGUUUUGUAAGUCAGAUGUGAAAUCCCCGGGCUUAACCUGGGAACU